This 459-nucleotide ribosomal RNA is filed under the name uncultured bacterium. RNAcentral describes it as "partial 16S ribosomal RNA". It matches the Rfam family "Bacterial small subunit ribosomal RNA", at positions 338 to 795 of the family's 1533-position model. The record is from RNAcentral.
CCUACGGGAGGCAGCAGUGAGGAAUAUUGGUCAAUGGGCGGGAGCCUGAACCAGCCAAGUCGCGUGAAGGAAGAAGGUACUUAGUAUUGUAAACUUCUUUUGUCGGGGAACAAAGGCGGAGACGCGUCUCCGCAUGAGUGUACCCGAAGAAAAAGCAUCGGCUAACUCCGUGCCAGCAGCCGCGGUAAUACGGAGGAUGCGAGCGUUAUCCGGAUUUAUUGGGUUUAAAGGGUGCGCAGGCGGGAGAUCAAGUCAGCGGUAAAAUGUCGGGGCUCAACCCCGGCCGGCCGUUGAAACUGGUUUUCUAGAGUUGGAGAGAGGGAUGCGGAAUUCGUGGUGUAGCGGUGAAAUGCAUAGAGAUCACGCAGAACUCCGAUUGCGAAGGCAGCAUACCGGCGCUCAACUGACGCUCAUGCACGAAAGUGUGGGUAUCGAACAGGAUUAGAUACCCGUGUAGUC